UACGAAGGGGGCUAGCGUUGCUCGGAAUCACUGGGCGUAAAGGGUGCGUAGGCGGGUCGUUAAGUCAGGGGUGAAAUCCUGGAGCUCAACUCCAGAACUGCCUUUGAUACUGAGGAUCUUGAGUUCGGGAGAGGUGAGUGGAACUGCGAGUGUAGAGGUGAAAUUCGUAGAUAUUCGCAAGAACACCAGUGGCGAAGGCGGCUCACUGGCCCGGUACUGACGCUGAGGUGCGAAAGCGUGGGGAGCAAACAGG
RNAcentral lists this ribosomal RNA (253 nucleotides) under uncultured bacterium. RNAcentral describes it as "partial 16S ribosomal RNA". It matches the Rfam family "Bacterial small subunit ribosomal RNA", at positions 524 to 776 of the family's 1533-position model. The record is from RNAcentral.